Molecule: ribosomal RNA, 376 nt
Filed under: uncultured bacterium
Lineage: Bacteria
Description: bacterial SSU rRNA
Rfam family: Bacterial small subunit ribosomal RNA
Source: RNAcentral
UACAGAGGUGGCAAGCGUUGUUCGGAAUCACUGGGCUUAAAGCGUGUGUAGGCAGAUCAGAAAGUGUUUUGUGAAAUCCCUCGUCUCAACCGAGGAAUUGCUGGGCAAACUACUGAUCUUGAGGCAGGCAGGGGUGCUUGGAACUCUUGGUGGAGCGGUGAAAUGCGUAGAUAUCAAGAGGAACGCCUGUGGCGAAAGCGGAGCACUGGGCCUGAACUGACGCUGAGACACGAAAGCGUGGGGAGUGAACGGGAUUAGAUACCCCGGUAAUCCACGCUGUAAACGAUGCAUACUUGGUGUUGGGAACUCUGACGUUCUCAAGACCGAAACAAAAGCGUUAAGUAUGCCGCCUGGGGAGUACGGUCGCAAGGCUACA